ACUCCUACGGGAGGCAGCAGUGGGGAAUUUUGCGCAAUGGGCUAACGCCUGACGCAGCAACGCCGCGUGGAGGAUGAAGGUCUUUGGAUUGUAAACUCCUGUCGGCAGGGAAAAAGCGACUGGGCCUAAUACGCCCGGGAGUUGAUUGUACCUGCGGAGGAAGCCCCGGCUAACUCUGUGCCAGCAGCCGCGGUAAUACAGAGGGGGCAAGCGUUAUUCGGAAUUAUUGGGCGUAAAGGGCGCGUAGGCGGCUUGGCAAGUGGAAGGUGAAAUCCCUCGGCUUAACCGAGGAACUGCCCUCCAAACUGCUUGGCUUGAGACCGGGAGAGGUGAGUGGAAUUCCCAGUGUAGCGGUGAAAUGCGUAGAUAUUGGGAGGAACACCAGUGGCGAAGGCGGCUCACUGGACCGGUACUGACGCUGAUGCGCGAAAGCGUGGGGAGCAAACGGGAUUAGAUACCCCGGUAGUCCACGCCGUAAACGAUGAGUGCUUGGUGUAGCGGGUAUCGACCCCUGCUGUGCCGAAGUCAACACAUUAAGCACUCCGCCUGGGGAGUACGGUCGCAAGGCUGAAACUUAAAGGAAUUGACGG
RNAcentral lists this ribosomal RNA (590 nucleotides) under uncultured Acidobacteriota bacterium. RNAcentral's name for it is "bacterial SSU rRNA". It matches the Rfam family "Bacterial small subunit ribosomal RNA", at positions 335 to 916 of the family's 1533-position model. Lineage: Bacteria; Pseudomonadati; Acidobacteriota. The record is from RNAcentral.